This is a long non-coding RNA of Microcebus murinus (gray mouse lemur), 863 nucleotides long. RefSeq lists it as uncharacterized. Lineage: Eukaryota; Metazoa; Chordata; Mammalia; Primates; Cheirogaleidae. The record is from RefSeq and is a predicted model, not a curated record.
CGCCCCCUAAGGGAAGGGGCCGUAGGCUGAGGGCGACGGAAGUCGACGUCACUCGCGGUCACCAUGUUGGUUGAGGGCAAAGCGACGGCUCAGGAGGCCUUCUUCGAUGAGGGUGCAAGGCUUUCCGGUGGUCUGGUAGAUUUCUGAAGUCAGAAGGAUUAGAAAGAGUGUUUGUUUAUUGGCCUCCUAAAACUCCAGCAGUGGUUGCUAUUGUUACCAUCCCUAUCUUAAAGGAAACAGAAGCAUAGCGAGGUUCUGCAAUGUUCCACAGGGCUGCCCCCUUUCUGCCCUUGUGCAAAAAUGAGCAAGAGGAGAUAAUGUGUUCUCGUGACCAACCUUUCAAUGCUUGGACCCCACUUGCCUUGGGAUGCUGUCAAAACCAGACAGACCUGCAUAUGGAAUGCUGCUCAGUAUGCCCACGCAACCUGACAAACAGCCUCAGGAUACUCUCUGGCCAGCAGUGUCCAGUUAACUCCUCAUCCUCCAAAGCUCCAUUCAAGAGCAACUUUGUCCAGAAUUCAUUCACUGGUCUCUCCCAUGAGCCAAAUCUCCUUGCCAUAGUCUCUGGGGCACUGUGGCCCUCACUCAUGGCAGCAGGGCCAUUUUUAUGUGUGCUCGUGUGACAUGAUCAAUUCAGGUCCAUCUCCACCAUCAGACCAUGGGGGCCGUGACUGGAGGCUGGAUUGAGCUUGAAUGAAAAGCAGGCCUGCAUGCAACCCUCCAUGGCUGGAUUACCCUGAGGCCUGGAGCUCCCAGAGAUAAAUGAGGCCAAAUCUUCCAGAAUGUGGUGGAACAAUUACAGAUUUUGUCUUUUCUUUUAAAUACAAUGAGAAAAAAAUAAAGUCUUGCCAGGUUUUGAAUCA